This 857-nucleotide long non-coding RNA is filed under the name Panax ginseng (ginseng). RNAcentral's name for it is "long non-coding RNA (PGIN_LNC015046)". Lineage: Eukaryota; Viridiplantae; Streptophyta; Magnoliopsida; Apiales; Araliaceae. The record is from RNAcentral.
UUAAAUGGCAGACAGUGACUUGGAUACUGUAACUCAGCCGAAGAUUAAACCUUUCUUGGCCAUUCUUUGUUCGCCUCGACUUUCUCCUAGGCGGUUAUUUUAAAUCCUCUUCAGCGGCUGUCAUGACUCGUCGGAGGGCUUCGUUGCUAUCUCCACCUCCGUUCUCUAUCCCCGAUCAAAAUGGUCGGUAUCGAAAAGGGUAGCUUUCACGGUCGAUGAAUCGGUCUCCAAGCGGAGAUUUUCGAUAAUGGUGGUGGCGACAGCAGUAACGGACAAGACGAAGGAGUCUAAUACUUCCCGGAACUGUCGAAUUGUUAUCGGGACGGCACGUCGCCGGCUUCGGAAGAAGGUUAUUGGCGUCUUUUUUUUUUCUUUUCUUCUUCUUCUAUUUUUUGCCUAAUCUGGAUAUUGGUAGUUAUUCUUUCUUAUAUCUGUUCAUCGAUCUAUGUUGUUAUUCGACUACUUCGGUUAAUUCAUCGAUCCAUCGACUCACCUCUUUAAUUAAUUCGUAAGUUUGUAAUUAUCCCUAAAUUUGAAGACCUAGGGUUUAAAUAUGUGAACUUUAUUGAAAUUUUCUUUUGGGUAUUCAAUUUGAAAGUUUGGAGGUUGUGUUUUUGUAAUUUAUGUUAAAAUCUUGCAUUGCUUCGGCAGUAUAUGGGUUGUUUUCUGUUUUUAUAAAGUUAGGGCUUUUGAUCAUUGUGAGGAUUAAAGCAAUUGAAGUAUGAACAUUCAUAGCCCUUGGGAAGAGGAUAGUUAGGGUUUUUGGCUUUUGGAGAAAUUGUUUAGACUUCAAUGGGGGAUGGCAGCGUUGCAUAUAUUCCUUCGUAGCAUAUUAUGGAGCAAUUUUCUAUUUUUCC